UUUCUGGCGGGAGCGGGUGGUCCGGCACUUAGUGUUGGUACUUUCCUGUCUCUUGCCAUCCUUGGGUCUAAGCUGUCUGGCAUUUAGUUGUCGGGCAGUGGCUGCCCAUCGUUUACUGUGAAAAAAUUAGAGUGUUCAAAGCAGGCUUAUGCCGUUGAAUAUAUUAGCAUGGAAUAAUAAGAUAGGACCUUGGUACUAUUUUGUUGGUUUGCGCACCGAGGUAAUGAUUAAGAGGGACAGUUGGGGGUAUUCGUAUUCAAUUGUCAGAGGUGAAAUUCUUGGAUUUCUGGAAGACGAACUACUGCGAAAGCAUUUACCAAGGAUGUUUUCAUUAAUCAAGAACGAAAGUUAGGGGAUCGAAGAUGAUUAGAUACCAUCGUAGUCUUAACCAUAAACUAUGCCGACUAGGGAUUUGUGGGUG
RNAcentral lists this ribosomal RNA (421 nucleotides) under Attheya sp. RCC5558. RNAcentral's name for it is "SSU rRNA". It matches the Rfam family "Eukaryotic small subunit ribosomal RNA", at positions 638 to 1062 of the family's 1831-position model. The record is from RNAcentral. Lineage: Eukaryota; Bacillariophyta; Biddulphiophyceae; Attheyales; Attheyaceae.